RNAcentral lists this ribosomal RNA (497 nucleotides) under uncultured bacterium. RNAcentral describes it as "partial 16S ribosomal RNA". It matches the Rfam family "Bacterial small subunit ribosomal RNA", at positions 28 to 507 of the family's 1533-position model. The record is from RNAcentral.
GAUGAACGCUGGCGGCGUGCCUAAUACAUGCAAGUCGAGCGAACAGACGAGGAGCUUGCUCCUCUGACGUUAGCGGCGGGCGGGUGAGUAACACGUGGAUAACCUACCUAUAAGACUGGGAUAACUUCGGGAAACUGGAGCUAAUACCGGAUAAUAUAUUGAACCGCAUGGUUCAAUAGUGAAAGACGGUUUUGCUGUCACUUAUAGAUGGAUCCGCGCCGCAUUAGCUAGUUGGUAAGGUAACGGCUUACCAAGGCAACGAUGCGUAGCCGACCUGAGAGGGUGAUCGGCCACACUGGAACUGAGACACGGUCCAGACUCCUACGGGAGGCAGCAGUAGGGAAUCUUCCGCAAUGGGCGAAAGCUUGACGGAGCAACGCCGCGUGAGUGAUGAAGGUCUUCGGAUCGUAAAACUCUGUUAUUAGGGAAGAACAAAUGUGUAAGUAACUAUGCACGUCUUGACGGUACCUAAUCAGAAAGCCACGGCUAACUACGUG